AUGCGUCUUCUUGCUCCAGCAUUCAAGUACCAUUUCAAGGGAGGAUGACAUACCAUGAUACUUACUAUUUUGUCGAUCCCUGCUUUGGUCUCUGGUUUGAUGGUUGUACGUGCUAAAAAUCCGGUACAUUUGUUUUCCAUCCUAGUCUUUUGUGACACUUCUGGUCUUAUUUUGUUAGGUCUCAACUUCUCCGCUAUGAUCUCCCCAGUAGUUCAUAUAGGAGCUAUUGCCGUUUCAUUCCUAUUCGUGUUUAUGAUGUUCAAUAUUCAAAUAGCGGAGAUUCACGAAGAAGUAUUGCGCUAUUUACCAGUGAGUGGUAUUAUUGGACUGAUAUUUUGGUGGGAAAUGUUCUUCAUUUUAGAUAAUGAAACCAUUCCAUUACUACCAACCCACAGAAAUACGACCUCUCUGAGAUAUACGGUUUAUGCCGGAAAGGUACGAAGUUGCACUAAUUUGGAAACAUUGAGCAAUUUUCUUUAUACCUACUAUUCCGUCUGGUUUUUGGUUUCUAGUAUGAUUUUAUUAGUAGCUAUGAUUGGGGCUAUAGUACUCAUUAUGCAUAGGACUACAAAGGUGAAAAGACAGGAUGUAUUCCGACAAAAUGCCUUGGAUUCUAGGAGGAAUAUAAUGAACAUGACUAUUUCUCCUUUUGGCCAUAGCCAUAGAAGAAGCUUCUCCUCCGGAGUGGGGGACCGCCUGACAAUUACAAAGAAACCUUUAAAAGGUGGAUUUUGUGCUCAGAAUAUCAGUCUUUCCCUGGCUUAA
Molecule: ribosomal RNA, 765 nt
Filed under: Triticum aestivum (bread wheat)
Lineage: Eukaryota; Viridiplantae; Streptophyta; Magnoliopsida; Poales; Poaceae
Description: partial small subunit ribosomal RNA
Source: RNAcentral